This 465-nucleotide ribosomal RNA is filed under the name uncultured bacterium. RNAcentral's name for it is "partial 16S ribosomal RNA". It matches the Rfam family "Bacterial small subunit ribosomal RNA", at positions 28 to 507 of the family's 1533-position model. The record is from RNAcentral.
GAUGAACGCUGGCGGCGUGCUUAACACAUGCAAGUCGAACGGAAAGGCUCCUGCUUGCAGGGGUACUCGAGUGGCGAACGGGUGAGUAACACGUGGGUGAUCUGCCCUGCACUUCGGGAUAAGCCUGGGAAACUGGGUCUAAUACCGGAUAGGACCACAUUUUGGAUGGUGUGGUGGAAAGUUUUUCGGUGUGGGAUGAGCUCGCGGCCUAUCAGCUUGUUGGUGGGGUAAUGGCCUACCAAGGCGUCGACGGGUAGCCGGCCUGAGAGGGUGUACGGCCACAUUGGGACUGAGAUACGGCCCAGACUCCUACGGGAGGCAGCAGUGGGGAAUAUUGCACAAUGGGCGCAAGCCUGAUGCAGCGACGCCGCGUGGGGGAUGACGGCCUUCGGGUUGUAAACUACUUUCGCUAGGGACGAAGCGCAAGUGACGGUACCUGGAGAAGAAGCACCGGCUAACUACGUG